Long non-coding RNA from Pongo pygmaeus (Bornean orangutan), 240 nucleotides. RefSeq lists it as uncharacterized. The record is from RefSeq and is a predicted model, not a curated record. NCBI's taxonomy places the organism in Eukaryota, Metazoa, Chordata, Mammalia, Primates, Hominidae. The transcript is spliced from 3 exons.
CACAUCUUAAAGGAGUUCAUAUUUACUUCCUGAGAAGUGAUGGUGGGAGACUAUUUGGAUGGCGAAUGGUCACCUUGCUAUGGGAAAAAAGCACCAUCUUCCUUUUGGACAAUCUUCGAUAGGGUAGUGGCAUACCUGCUCUGCAGCCAACAAAUUCAAAAGCCUAUCAAUCAAUGGACAAGUGAAAGUAUUAACGACAUCUGCCACCAUGUUGGCUAUGAGUCCUUGAGAUCUUGCCUG